AGCGAAAGCGAAAGCGAAAGCGAAAGUGAAAGCGAAAGCGAAAGUAAAACGAAUCGCUGUGGUUCUCCCGUUCCUCCCCCGUUCGGCGUCGUUUUCGGCUCGCAGCCGGACGUCUACCCCGGCGGCGAAAUCCUCUGGGCCGCCCCCCGGCCCGCCUCCGACUUUUCGGCCGCCGACGCCGCCGAAUUCGCCGCCGGCCUCCGGCGCCGCAGCUCCAAGAUGAGCUUGGCCGUGCUCCGCAUCCGCCCCGGCGCCCUCCGCGUCCCCCACUGGCACUUCAACGCCGACGAGCACGGCUACGUCCUGCAGGCACGCGGUUUUUUUCCCAUUUCCCCUUUUUCUCUCCUCCCUCCUCCCCCCCAUCCUCAUCCUCACCCCCCCCUCGCUCUCAACCUCUCCCCCCCCGCCUUCAAAACCGUUUUCCGUGCGGCGCGUGCGAGAAACCGCCCCCCCACGCACGCGCCCCUUGCACGUGGGGGGGGUGGCGACGUGCGAGCGGCGGCGUUGCAGGGCACGGCGUGGAUCGGCGUCGUCGACGCCGGCGAUGUCACCGGCAACGUCACCGUGGUCACCUACAACGUCACCGCCGGCCACGCCGUCUUCUUCCCCCGCAACGCCGUCCACUGGCUGAAGAACGUGGGCGCCGGCGACUGCGUCGUCGUGCUCUUCUUCGGCACGCACGAGGAGCUGCGCACGCUGGACGCCGACGACGCUUUCUUCGCCACGCCGCGCGAAGUGGCCGCGCGGGCGCUGCAGGUGAUGCCCCCGGGGGGAGGGGGUUGGGUCCUGGAAGGGUGAAAGUGGCGGUGGUUGCGUCCCCCUACCACCUUCCUUGGGCUCUCUAUUAUGUUUUAUAUGGAGGUUGGGUCCUGGAAGGUGCGAGGGGCGGUGGUUGUGUCCCCCUAGCACCUUCCUGGGGCUCCCUACAAUGUUUCAUAGGGAGGUUGGGUCCUGGAAGGUGCAAGGUGCGGUGGUUGCGUCCCCCUACCACCUUCCUUGGGCUCCCUGUUAUGUUUUAUAUGGAGGUUGGGUCCUGGAAGGUGCAAGGGGUGGUGGUUGGGUCCUGGAAGGUGCGAGGCGCGGUGGUUGCAUCCCCCUAGCACCUUCCUUGGGCUCCCUACAUGUUCUAUAUGGAGGUUGGGUCCUGGAAGCUAAAACGCUCAAUGCUUGGCUCCCCUCCCAUUCUCUCUUGGGUUUUCAGGUCCUGGCAGGUUCAACUCUUGCUGUUUGCUCUCCCUCCCAUUUUCCCUCGGGUUUUCAGGUCCUGGCAGGUUCAACUCUUGGUCUUUGCCCUCCCUCCCAUUCUCCCUCGGUUUUUUGGGUCCUGGCAGGUUCAACGCUCGGUGUUUGCCCUCCCUCCCAUUUUCGCUCGGGUUUUUGGGUCCUGGCAGGUUCAACGCUCGUUAUUUGGUUCCCCUCCCAUUUUCCCUUGGGUUUUCGGGUCCUGGCAGGUUCAACUCUUGCCGGUUGGCUCCCCUCCCAUUUUCCCUCGGGUUUUCGGGUCCUGGCAGGUUCAACACUUGCCAGUUGGCUCCCCUCCCAUUCUCCCUUGGGUUUUCGGGUCCUGGCAGGUUCCACUCUUGGUGUUUGCCCUCCCUCCCAUUCUCGCUCGGGUUUUUGGGUCCUGGCAGGUGCAACUCUUGCCAAUUGGCUCCCUUACCAUUUUCCCUUGUGUUUUUGGGUCCUGGAAGAUUCAAUGCUUGCCAGUUGGCUCCCCUCCCAUUUUCCCUCGGGUUUUUGGGUCCUGGCAGGUUCAAUGCUCGGUGUUUGCCCUCCCUCCCAUUUUCCCUCGGGUUUUCAGGUCCUGGCAGGUUCAACGCUCGGUGUUUGUCUUCCUUCCCAUUUUCUGUUGCGUUUUUGGGUCCUGGCAGGUUCAACGCUCGGUGUUUGCCCUCCCUCCUAUUUUCCCUCGGGUUUUUGGGUCCUGGCAGGUUCAACGCUCGGUGUUNCCAUUGACUCUAAUGACCCCCAUUCAUUCUAUUGAUCCCCAUUCAUUCCAAUGACCCCAUUCAUUCCAAUGAGCCUCGUUCAUACUAAUGAGCCCCAUUCAUUCCAAUGAGCCCCAUUCAUUCCAAUGAGCCCCAUUCAUUCCAAUGAGCCCCACUGAUUCCAAUGAGCCCCACUGAUUCUAAUUAACCCCCAUUCUAAUGAGCCUCCAUUGAUUCUAUUGAGCCCCCAUUCGUUCCAGUGACCCCCAUUCAUCCCAGUCCAUCGCCAUUCAAUCUAAUCCACCCCCAUUCACUCUAAUUAACCCCCACUAAUUCCAGUGACCCCCAUUCAUUCUCAUGAGCCCCCGUUUAUCCUAAUGACCCCCAUUCAUCCCAAUCCACCCCCAUUCAUUCUAUUGACCCCCAUUCAUUCUACUGACCCCCACUGAUUCUAACGAGCCCCAUUCAUCCCAACGAGCCUCCUUCACUCUAACAAGCCCCCAUUCAUUCUAAUUAACCCCCAUUCUAAUGAGCCCCCAUUCAUUCUAUUGAGCCCCAUUUAUUCUAAUGAGCCCCAUUUAUUCUAUUAAGCCCCAUUGAUUCCAAUGACCCCCAUUCAUUCUAUUGAGCCCCACUGAUUCCGAUGACCCCCAUCCAUUCC
Long non-coding RNA from Numida meleagris (helmeted guineafowl), 2589 nucleotides. The record is from Ensembl. NCBI's taxonomy places the organism in Eukaryota, Metazoa, Chordata, Aves, Galliformes, Numididae.